This is a long non-coding RNA of Bolinopsis microptera, 1566 nucleotides long. RefSeq lists it as uncharacterized. The transcript is spliced from 2 exons. The record is from RefSeq and is a predicted model, not a curated record. Lineage: Eukaryota; Metazoa; Ctenophora; Tentaculata; Lobata; Bolinopsidae.
AGUUAGGUACAGCACACAGAACAUUGCUAAAUUCUAGUCCUGCCUCAUCGAUUUGAAAUGAGAAAUGAGCAGACAAAAGACGAAAAAGAUUGACGCUCAGGACUGCCACAUAUAGAAACAACUGCAACGAUUAAAUGCCUAAGGUCUAAUUAGUUAGUGAACAAUUGCUGAAGCCUGUAACCGGAGAUUUGUGCGUUAAACAUAUUACAUCAGACUACACAGACUUUUAUGAGCAAACUGAGAAUCGCCAGGACACAGAAGCAAAGGGCCCCUUCUAUUCGGUUUUUGGCAAAAAGCUUGAGUGUUGAUUGUUGAACAUUGGCCUCUAGAUAAACUAUGAACUUUUUGAAACACAGGGCGUUUGUUAUUUUUCUGAUGUGAGUUGGCAACAUAUGAUCAAUCGUUGGUCUGUUUUAUAGUUACUUUAAUGUGUACAUUUUCAAUUCUGUUAAGUCUUUUAAGUAUAAGGUUGCUUUCUUUUGUUUUACCUUCAUGUCAUCUUUCGACUUCUCGCAGCUGCAGUCUUCCUAUUUGCCCUCAUCCUUCGCUCUCCUGGCCCUUUUCUAUAGAGUUCAUCUCUUUACCCGACUUGUCACUGACUUCCUAUUUUCUAUUUAAAGCUCUCACACGUACGGCCUCUAUGUGUGCAAUAUAUCUCUUUAUCCAACUUCUCAUCGUCUUCCUACUCUCUCUCUAUCCCUCUCCCUCUAUAUCCCUCUCUCUCUCUCUCUCUCUCAGGUCCUCAGUCCUCCUUCUCCUCUUCAGUCCUCCUACUCCUCAUCCUCUUCAGUCCUCCUACUUCUCCUCAGUCCUCGUAUGUACAAUAACUUCUCAGUCCUCCUCAUCAGUCCUCUUGCUCAUCCUCCUACUCAGUUCUCCUCCUGAGUCCUCCUAUAAUGUACGAUUCCUUCUCUGUCCUUCUCCUCCUCUUCAGUCCUCAUACUCCUCCUCCUCAGUCCUCGUAUGUAUGAUACCUUCUCAGUCCUCCUUAUCCUCCUUUUCCUCCUCCUCAAUCCUCCUCCUCCCCAGUCUUUCUCAGUCCUCCUUCUUAUCUUCAUCCCCCUACUCUUCCUCCUCCCCAGUUCUCCUCCUCUUUCUCUUCCUCCUCCUCAGUCCUCCCCCUCCUCCCCAGUCGUCCUCCUCUUUCUCAGUCCUCGUAUGUACGAUACCUUCUCAGACCUUUUCCUUGUCCUCCUCAUCAGUCCUCCUCCUCCUCCUCCUGCUCAGUUUUCCUCGUCCUCCGUGUCUUUCUCCUCGUCCUCCUCUUUUUCAGUCCCUCUCAGUCGAGUCCUCCUCAGUCCUCCUCUUCCUCAGUCCUCGUAUGUACCAUACCUUCUCAGACCGUUUCCUCGUCCUCCUCAUCAGUCCUCGUCCUCCUCCUGCUCAGUUUUCCUCGUCCUCCUCUUACUCAGUCCCUCUCAGUCCUCCUCCUCCUCAGUCCUCGUGUGUAUGAUACCUUCUCAGUUCUCGUAUUACAUUUAAAUUUGUUUGACAUCGUAUAUAUUUAAAAGACUCGACCUUAUAAGUUUAAAUAGGUCCUAUAGUGCAGUAAUUAGAAGAUAUUGC